Molecule: long non-coding RNA, 236 nt
Filed under: Trifolium pratense (red clover)
Lineage: Eukaryota; Viridiplantae; Streptophyta; Magnoliopsida; Fabales; Fabaceae
Description: long non-coding RNA (TPRA_LNC001538)
Source: RNAcentral
CUAAGAUAGGAAUCAUUCUUAUUGAACUUAGAUCAAAUAGUUGCAAUACAAAAGGAAUUUGAGAUGUGAAAAGAGAGUUUGGGAGAGAAGAAUAACAACUUCACCAAUCACAUAACUCACAAAAUACUCUUAUUACACUAUUAAUAGUAACUCAUUUCUCCACAUAGUCUCAUUAUUUGGGCUGAAGUUGACUAACUCCUAUUUGGGCCUACUCAAUAUGGUGGGUUCAUUACAAU